This 466-nucleotide long non-coding RNA is filed under the name Cricetulus griseus (Chinese hamster). Its description in RNAcentral is "lncRNA (ENSCGRG00015038841.1)". Lineage: Eukaryota; Metazoa; Chordata; Mammalia; Rodentia; Cricetidae. The record is from RNAcentral.
CUAGACUUGUAUGGACACCUUUCUUGGCCUAUCAUUAGUACCCCAUCUGGGGGAGUAAAUGUUUGUUUGUGCCUCCACUGGAAAAGUUUCUAGGACAAGGUCAUAGAAGCACAUGUUCAAUCGUUAUGGCUGCCGAAAGGGAAGCUGGUUUCUUCAGAAGUAGCCAUGGAUCAUCUACAUGAAGAUGUCAGCUGGACACAUCACUCUAAGGAAAACUGCACACAUCAACUUCAUGCUCUAGCAGCCUUUGACCAUCCAAUGGAGCGCCAGAGCCAAGAAAAACCACAAGAGAAAAAUAGGCAUUCACAGUACCAAGAAGAGUCUUCAGUACAAUCACUACAUAGGCUGCAUUCGAGAGCUGACUCGCUGAGGUUGAUAUUUAAAAAAAGUAUUUGGACUACCGUGAUAUAUAAGCCCUUCCUUUCUUUGCAACUGCCUCAGCCACACAACACUCCUCUGAACUCCC